Nicrophorus vespilloides is the source of this 625-nucleotide long non-coding RNA. RefSeq lists it as uncharacterized. Lineage: Eukaryota; Metazoa; Arthropoda; Insecta; Coleoptera; Silphidae. The transcript has 3 exons. The record is from RefSeq and is a predicted model, not a curated record.
GCUACUGUCAGAAGUUAAGUUCAAAGGUCAUUUUGCUCUCUAUUCUGCAAUAUUAUGAAUGCAAACUUAAUGAACAACAUGCUCCAUUGCUACCUUCUUCUAUUUCCUUGUAUAGAAAACCUUCCUAUGAACUUCACAUUUCACUUCGGGAAAAAUACAACAGACAUUGCAGCUUAGUAGGGACAAUUCUUUUUACAUAUAACAUACUGAAUAUGUGUCUUCAUCUAAAAAUUUGUAGUAAUUGCUAUAGUCAUAAGGUGGAGCUGAUAGCAAGAUGCCUCUAAUGUAUGUUGACAUCCUUAAGGUCCACAGAAAGUGGAAGCCAUUCUUUACUAGCAGUAGCAGUUUUCAUUUGCAUAUAGUAGAAAACUUAAUUGGUGAAAGUGACCAAAAAUAUUUCUUCAAUAAGGAGAUGGAUAACAACUACGGAUCCUGCAGCACACAUUAAUCUAUUGUUGCCUCCUACAUGAUCUUUACAGACUAGUUAACAUUUCUGAUAUCAGUGAAAAUAAAAAAUGUAUAUUUUCAUGAAAUCUCCAGAAAGAGACUGUAGCCUUUUUAUAUAGCUAUCAAUCUAUAUUUACACUAAAUUUUAAUCUCUGUAUAUUAUAGAUCAACAUUCAUG